This 1579-nucleotide ribosomal RNA is filed under the name Eleutherodactylus riparius. RNAcentral describes it as "16S ribosomal RNA". It matches the Rfam family "Bacterial large subunit ribosomal RNA". The record is from RNAcentral. Lineage: Eukaryota; Metazoa; Chordata; Amphibia; Anura; Eleutherodactylidae.
ACUAAAAACCCAGCCUAAUGAUUUCUCAACACAACUAAAUCAUAAACCAAAAUAUUUUAACAAUUUAGUAAAGAAGAUUAAAAAAUUUAUUAGCGCCAUAAAUAUGUACCGCAAGGGAGAAAAGAUGAAAUAACAAUGAAAUACUUCAAAAGCACAAAAAAGUAGAGUUUAACCCUCGUACCUUUUGCAUCAUGGUUUAACUAGUAAAAUCAGGCAAAAAGAAUUACAGUCUGACAUCCCGAAACUAAGUGAGCUACUUUAGGACAGCUUAAUGAGCCAACCCUUCUCUGUUGCAAAAGAGUGGGAAGAUCUUAAAGUAGGGGUAAAAUACCUAACGAACUUAGCGAUAGCUGGUUAUUCAGGAAAAGAAUUUUAGUUCAACCUAAAGCUAUAAAAAUACUUAAUAAAUAUAAACUUAGCUUUAGAGCAAAUCAGAUAGGUCACAGCCUACCUGAAACAGGAUACAGCCUCCACCUAUGGGUAAUACAGUGUUGAAUAACUAAGUAGGCCUGAAAGCAGCCACCUUUAAAACAGCGUCAAAGCUUAGCUAUUAUACUUAACAAAUUUCUAAAAUAAAUUAAAACCCUACCUUAAUACUGAAUAAUUCCAUAUAUAUAUGGAAGCUAUUAUGUUAAAACAAGUAACAUGAAGAUACCUUCUCUUAAAUGUAAACUUAAGUCAGACCGGAUAAAACACUGACAAUUAACAGCUUAAACUAAAGUGAUAACCCAACAAGAAAAUCUCACUAUUAACUCAUCUGUUAACCUAACACAAGAACAUUUUAAGAAAGACUUAAAGAGAAAGAAGGAACUCGGCAAAAAUUGAUUCCGCCUGUUUACCAAAAACAUCGCCUCCUGAAUAAAUCAUAAGAGGUCCAGCCUGCCCAGUGACUCUGUUAACGGCCGCGGUAUCCUAACCGUGCGAAGGUAGCGUAAUCACCUGUUUUUUAAUUAAAGACCUGUAUGAAAGGCAUCACGAGAAUCACACUGUCUCCUUUCUUUAGUCAGUGAAACUAAUCUCCCCGUGAAAAAGCGAGGAUGUCUCUACAAGACGAGAAGACCCUUUGGAGCUUAAGACAAAAUAAACACUUGCCAGCCUACACCAACCGUAUACCCCCACAACAUCAUGUUUAUAAGUCUUAGGUUGGGGCAACCGCGGAGUAAAAACAAACCUCCAAGCUGAACGGAUACUUCCUAAACAAAAAGCAACAACUUUAUGUAUCAUAAACUGACAUAAUUUGACCCAAUAUACUUUGAUUAACGAACCAAGUUACCCUAGGGAUAACAGCGCAAUCCACUUCAAGAGUUCAUAUCGAAAAGUGGGCUUACGACCUCGAUGUUGGAUCAAGGUACCCUGGUGGUGCAGCCGCUACCAAAGGUUCGUUUGUUCAACGAUUAAAACCUCACGCGAUCUGAGUUCAGACCGGAGUAAUCCAGGUCAGUUUCUAUCUGUAAAGAGCUCUUUCCAGUACGAAAGGACAAAAACAGCAUGGCCUAUAUAUCCUACAAGCCGUACCUAAUAACUUCUGACCACUCUCAAAAAAUUAUUAUCCUUCCAUUUUAUACUCAAGAUAAGAGAA